GCUGAAUCUUCAAUUUUGUACCCUGUUACUAAAUUUUCAAGGCUUAUAAUGUCUUUUUCAAUACCUAGGGAUUUCAUUAAUUUCAUUAUUAUUUUUAGAAAGUCAUUAUUAUAUGAGCAAUUGACAAAAAAAUGUUCAUAGUCUUCCUUUUUUUUACAAUGCUUACAUAAGUUGUCUUCAGUAAUUUUCCACUUUUUUAAUAGUUCAUUACUUGGCAGUAUGUAGUGAAUAAGUUUCCAUCUAAAUAUUUU
RNAcentral lists this long non-coding RNA (251 nucleotides) under Mytilus galloprovincialis (Mediterranean mussel). Lineage: Eukaryota; Metazoa; Mollusca; Bivalvia; Mytilida; Mytilidae. The record is from RNAcentral.